This is a long non-coding RNA of Pomacea canaliculata, 2864 nucleotides long. RefSeq lists it as uncharacterized. NCBI's taxonomy places the organism in Eukaryota, Metazoa, Mollusca, Gastropoda, Architaenioglossa, Ampullariidae. The record is from RefSeq and is a predicted model, not a curated record. The transcript has 4 exons.
GAUAAAUGACGUAAAGUGACGUCAAAAAUAGUGAUGUAGAAAAUGAGGUAGCGUUAGGAAGCAACUAGAAGCAGAAAAACGUUAAGAAGCAUCUAGAUUCUAGAAGAAGGACGUUAGAGGGCAAAUAGAAGAAGACGAUGUUAGAGAUUUGAUAGAAAAGGAAGAACGUUAGCGAGUGGAAGAAGAAGGAGGUUAGAGAGCCGAUAGAAGACGGAGUGAGAAGAGAGCCUUCGCCAAGACAAUGCGCCUCGCGAGUGAGUAAAAGAUUGAGUGUGAUAGUCAAAGAAAAAGACGUUGUGUUAGUGACUGUAUUUUUCUAGUCAGGAUUUGUUCUUUUGAGUUUUUGUUUAGUUAACAAGGGAAAACUCGUACAGGCGAAUCUUUUUUUUUUUUUUUCUGAGAGAAAGAACGCGCAAUUUUGCGACCCGCUGGUGUGUUGGAGAGAGUGAAAAACGAAAGGCACUGGCGGCGUCGUGACAGUUUUAAAGAAAAAUUCAAAUUUUAAAAAUGUUUAAAGCCCAAGGGCACAUCACUCUUAUGUGCGGCGAUGGGACAAACGAUGUCGGUGCGCUCAAACACGCUUAUGUUGGGUAGUAUUACAAAGACUGUUGGACAUUUCAUUUUUGGUGGUGUGAGACUUAUUUUACUUACUUGAUAAAUAAGACUUAAAUUUAAUUUUCUUUAAAUAAAUUGUGAAUUGUUUUAAGAGUAUGCACAAAGCAUUGGUGUGUCCUCCAGCAAAAUAUGUGCUGCAUCUUUCUUUUGUGUUCUAGGUGUGGCCUUGUUAGCUAAUGCCCCAGAGAGACUGCCCAGAAAAAGAAAUAUUGGAAAGAGGAGAACAAGUUGGCAGCCAUUUUGAAGAUUGAGGAAGAGGAGAAGGCACAAGUCAUUAGGCUAGGAGAUGCCAGUGUAGCCUCCCCUUUUACCUACAAUUUGUCAACAGUCAUGAGUGAACAAGUUGGCAGCCAUUUUGAAGAUUGAGGAAGAGGAGAAGGCACAAGUCAUUAGGCUAGGAGAUGCCAGUGUAGCCUCCCCUUUUACCUACAAUUUGUCAACAGUCAUGAGUGGUGAGUAAAUCUGAGCUGCUUUAUUUUUUUUUUUUUAUCAGGGAUUUACUUCUCUUGAUGGAGCCGCUCAGGGCAUCCACAUUGAUAACUUUGUUGCUGACAGUGGAUGGCCAGAUGGCUACCACACAUGUUUCCGCUAGAGUAACUUUUUACACAUGUUAAUAGAUUAAUGGCCUCUGUAAUUACUUGUGUACUUUCAGAACAAGUUGGCAGCCAUUUUGAAGAUUGAGGAAGAGGAGAAGGCACAAGUCAUUAGGCUAGGAGAUGCCAGUGUAGCCUCCCCUUUUACCUACAAUUUGUCAACAGUCAUGAGUGGUGAGUAAAUCUGAGCUGCUUUAUUUUUUUUUUUUUAUCAGGGAUUUACUUCUCUUGAUGGAGCCGCUCAGGGCAUCCACAUUGAUAACUUUGUUGCUGACAGUGGAUGGCCAGAUGGCUACCACACAUGUUUCCGCUAGAGUAACUUUUUACACAUGUUAAUAGAUUAAUGGCCUCUGUAAUUACUUGUGUACUUUCAGAACAAGUUGGCAGCCAUUUUGAAGAUUGAGGAAGAGGAGAAGGCACAAGUCAUUAGGCUAGGAGAUGCCAGUGUAGCCUCCCCUUUUACCUACAAUUUGUCAACAGUCAUGAGUGAACAAGUUGGCAGCCAUUUUGAAGAUUGAGGAAGAGGAGAAGGCACAAGUCAUUAGGCUAGGAGAUGCCAGUGUAGCCUCCCCUUUUACCUACAAUUUGUCAACAGUCAUGAGUGGUGAGUAAAUCUGAGCUGCUUUAUCUUUUUUUUUUAUCAGGGAUUUACUUCUCUUGAUGGAGCCGCUCAGGGCAUCCACAUUGAUAACUUUGUUGCUGACAGUGGAUGGCCAGAUGGCUACCACACGUUUCCGCUAGAGUAACUUUUUACACAUGCAUGCUCACACAUGCCUAUAUACACACGGUCUUCUGAACCAUUAGUAAUUUGAGGAAUUUGAUCUAGCUUUAAACUAGAAAAACAGAAAUGAAAAAAAAACCCAAGGUAUUUAUUGCCCUUUGCACAGUCAGUAUUUAGUCUAGUGUGUGGGCAUCAUUGACACCAGAAACCUUCCUCUUUUGUCUACAGUUUGUGAUAUCAUCAAGCAGGAUCUCUGUACCCUGGUUACCACAUUUAAAUUGUUUAAGAUCCUGGCCCUCAGUGCUUUGAUCCUUGCUUCAGCCAGAGUGUCCAUUAUCGGGAUGAUAUUAAGUUUUCAGACGCACAUGCGACCUUGCAGGGUCUAGUGUUGGCUGGCAAAGACAAUAUUUCAGAUAAUGUACCAUUUUUCAGGUGCCAGAGAAAAACUCAGAUUUACUUUACAAACAGUAGUUCUUCACACAGGUAUUCAUAGUUUAACCCAUCUGUAUAAAGUCCUUUUAUGUCCUGGGACUUUCGCCCUCACACCCAGUCACACGCGUACACAGUGACAAACACACUCAACCAACAAGACAGUUGUCAAACGUAUAAAUUUAACUAUUAAAACAAAGUCAAAACUCUUUAACAAUAAAAACAAUUAAAACAGCCUCGGUGCCUGCAAAGAAAAGUUUGAUUUUAAUCAAUGUUUUGAAUAAAAAACGUAAAAGUUUUGAAAAAAACUAUUGUGUUUUAUAAACAAGAGACAGUAAUCUAAUCCAUGCCUUAAGAACUUUCGGUUAUCUCAAGAGGUCUAGGAGAUAUAACCAGUCAAACAUGCUACCCACCUGUCGACUAAGCAAUAGUAUUUUUUGCUCUCUUUAAAUGUCAAUGGACAAAUUAAUGUUCUACCAGGUUACCCUUAUGACAACCGAUAGUUU